GUCCUUUAGAUAAAAAUUAUUUAAGGUCUAACCUGCCCAUUGAUUAAUUAAAAGGCCGCAGUAAUUUGACUGUGCAAAGGUAGCAUAAUCAUUAGUUUUUUAAUUAAAAGCUUGUAUGAAUGGUUGGACGAGAUAAAAUCUGUCUCUUUAUAAAAAAUAGAAUUUAAUUUUUAAGUUAAAAAGCUUAAAUAAAUAUAAAAGACGAGAAGACCCUAUAGAUCUUUAUAUAAUUUUUUUUAAUAUUAAUAAAGAAGAUUUAAUUUAUUAAAUAAUUUUAUAUUUUAUUGGGGUAAUAAAAAGAUUAAUUUAAUUCUUUUUUAUUAAACAAUAAUUAUUGGUUAUAUGAUCCAUUAUUAAUGAUUAUAAGAUUAAGUUACCUUAGGGAUAACAGCGUAAUUUUUUUAGAGAGUUCUUAUCAAUAAAAAAGUUUGCGACCUCGAUGUUGGAUUAAAAGUAAUUCUAGGUGCAGAAGUUUAGAGUUUUGGUCUGUUCGACCAUUAAAUUUUU
RNAcentral lists this ribosomal RNA (507 nucleotides) under Hydroporus erythrocephalus. RNAcentral's name for it is "partial 16S ribosomal RNA". The stretch from base 384 to 507 matches the Rfam family "Archaeal large subunit ribosomal RNA", at positions 2542 to 2666 of the family's 2987-position model. Lineage: Eukaryota; Metazoa; Arthropoda; Insecta; Coleoptera; Dytiscidae. The record is from RNAcentral.